Molecule: ribosomal RNA, 226 nt
Filed under: uncultured bacterium
Lineage: Bacteria
Description: partial 16S ribosomal RNA
Rfam family: Bacterial small subunit ribosomal RNA
Source: RNAcentral
CCUGCCCCGAAGACUGGGAUAACACCGGGAAACCGGUGCUAAUACCGGAUGCCCUCCUCUGGUCGCAUGGCCUAAGGAGGAAACGACUGUAUCUAAUAAAUGCAGUUUGCUUCGGGAGGGGCUCGCGGGCUAUCAGCUUGUUGGUGAGGUAACGGCUCACCAAGGCGACGACGGCUAGCUGGUCUGAGAGGACGACCAGCCACACUGGGACUGAGACACGGCCCAG